AGGUUAAGCUACAAAGAGCACACGGAGGAUGCCUAGGCGCCAGGAGCCGACGAAGGACGUGGCGAACAACGAUAAGGCCUCGGGGAGCUGUAAGCAAGCUUUGAUCCGGGGAUGUCCGAAUGGGGAAACCCGGCUGUCUUCAUCGACAGUCACUUUCUGCUGAAUACAUAGGCAGAAUAGAGGCAGACCAGGGGAACUGAAACAUCUAAGUACCCUGAGGAAGAGAAAACAAUAGUGAUUCCGUCAGUAGCGGCGAGCGAACGCGGAUUAGCCCAAACCAAGGAGCUUGCUCCUUGGGGUUGUGGGACGUCUCACAUGGAGUUACAAAGGAACCGGUUAGAUGAAGAGGUCUGGAAAGGCCCGCCAGAGAAGGUAAAAGCCCUGUAGUUCAAAACUUGUUCUCUCCGAGACGGAUCCCGAGUAGUGCGGGGCACGUGAAACCCCGUAUGAAUCCGGCAGGACCAUCUGCCAAGGCUAAAUACUCCCUGGCGACCGAUAGUGAAGCAGUACCGUGAGGGAAAGGUGAAAAGCACCCCGGAAGGGGAGUGAAAUAGAUCCUGAAACCGUGUGCUUACAAGAAGUCAGAGCCCGAUCUAUGGGUGAUGGCGUGCCUUUUGUAGAAUGAACCGGCGAGUUACGUUCCCGUGCAAGGUUAAGGUGAAGAGCUGAAGCCGCAGCGAAAGCGAGUCUGAAUAGGGCGAAUGAGUACGUGGACGUAGACCCGAAACCGGGUGAUCUACCCCUGUCCAGGGUGAAGGUGCGGUAACACGCACUGGAGGCCCGAACCCACGCAUGUUGAAAAAUGCGGGGAUGAGGUGGGGGUAGCGGAGAAAUUCCAAUCGAACCCGGAGAUAGCUGGUUCUCCCCGAAAUAGCUUUAGGGCUAGCCUCGGAAAUAGAAUCGUGGAGGUAGAGCACUGAUUGGGUGCGGGGCCCGCAAGGGUUACCAAGCUCAGUCAACUCCGAAUGCCAUAGAUUUAGUUCCGGGAGUCAGACAGUGAGUGCUAAGAUCCAUUGUCGAAAGGGAAACAGCCCAGACCAUCAGCUAAGGUCCCCAAGUGUGUGUUAAGUGGGAAAGGAUGUGGAGUUGCACAGACAACCAGGAUGUUGGCUUAGAAGCAGCCACCAUUGAAAGAGUGCGUAAUAGCUCACUGGUCGGAGUGACUCUGCGCCGAAAAUGUAACGGGGCUAAACACACCACCGAAGCUAUGGCUUGAUGCUUGCAUCAGGGGUAGGGGAGCGUUGAAUGCGGGUUGAAGGUGUACCGUAAGGAGCGCUGGACUGCAUUCAAGUGAGAAUGCCGGUAUGAGUAACGAAAAGAUCUGUGAGAAUCAGAUCCGCCGAAAGCCUAAGGGUUCCUGAGGAAGGUUCGUCCGCUCAGGGUAAGUCGGGACCUAAGGCGAGGCCGAUAGGCGUAGUCGAAGGACAACAGGUCGAAAUUCCUGUACCACCGUAAUCCGUUAUGAGCGAUCCGGUGCGAGGACAGUGUCAGGUGGGCAGUUUGACUGGGGCGGUCGCCUCCUAAAGAGUAACGGAGGCGCCCCAAGGUUCCCUCAGAAUGGUUGGAAAUCAUUCGAAGAGUGCAAAGGCAGAAGGGAGCUUGACUGCGAGACCUACAAGUCGAGCAGGGACGAAAGUCGGGCUUAGUGAUCCGGUGGUACCGCAUGGAAGGGCCAUCGCUCAACGGAUAAAAGCUACCCUGGGGAUAACAGGCUUAUCUCCCCCAAGAGUCCACAUCGACGGGGAGGUUUGGCACCUCGAUGUCGGCUCAUCGCAUCCUGGGGCUGAAGUAGGUCCCAAGGGUUGGGCUGUUCGCCCAUUAAAGCGGUACGCGAGCUGGGUUCAGAACGUCGUGAGACAGUUCGGUCCCUAUCUGUCGUGGGCGUAGGAAAUUUGAGAGGAGCUGUCCUUAGUACGAGAGGACCGGGAUGGACGUACCGCUGGUGUACCAGUUGUUCCGCCAGGAGCACCGCUGGGUAGCUAUGUACGGAAGGGAUAAGCGCUGAAAGCAUCUAAGCGUGAAGCCCCCCUCAAGAUGAGAUUUCCCAGUAUGUAAGACCCCUUGAAGACGACGAGGUAGAUAGGUUGGGGGUGGAAGUGCAGUAAUGCAUGGAGCUGACCAAUACUAAUCGGUCGAGGGCUUAUCCUAAA
RNAcentral lists this ribosomal RNA (2150 nucleotides) under Paenibacillus polymyxa. RNAcentral's name for it is "bacterial LSU rRNA". It matches the Rfam family "Bacterial large subunit ribosomal RNA". The record is from RNAcentral. Lineage: Bacteria; Bacillati; Bacillota; Bacilli; Caryophanales; Paenibacillaceae.